CACAAAACUUAGAUCCAGUUUGUAAAAACAUUACAGACCCAAACAUCUGUCUGGAGCCACUUCUUCAACCGAUCCAGGAGCAGUCUGGUGGGGAUUUGUGGAUUUCCCAGCAUGAAGGAGAGGCUAAGUGACAACAAACCUGCAUUCGGGAAUCUGAACGCAGCAGGCUGACCUCAAAGCUGAACCCAGAAUAGGUUUUAAAAGAAAACACAAACCAAACGUAAGCAAACCAGACCCAGAAAGCAUGAACCACCGCAGGACAACAAAAUUCUCGUCUCUCCUCCUGGGAUCAGGCAGUUCUCUGUCCGUCUGAUGGGGAAACGCAGCAGAUCACAGCUGGCUCUGUGCCCACAGAUAGAGCUGCUCCCCAGCGGCCUCACACUGCUGCCUCAGAUCCCGGUCCAAACCUCCCGCCCGGCCCAAAAGGUCAACCCUCCGCCCCUGGAGCCUGCAACCGUCGCCUCACCUCUGGCACAAACACCAUCAGCCUUCCUCUGCCAGCUUGUUACACCCAGACGAACACAAUCCAUUGCUGUGUUUUAUUUGGAGAUGAACGUCUGAACUCUCUGUUCGCGAGGACGUCUUGUCACUUUAAAGCCAAAUGAGCUGCUGCUGUCCACGACACUCAAGUCAACGCUUACACUUUCACGUGAAAAUGGCUGCAAACAGAAGCACAAUUACACAACCGUACAUCUUUGAAAAGCAGAAGUGGAGUCUCCUGCACAACCAACAAGAAUCCAGCAAGUGGUUUCUGGAUAGUAAGUCAGCAAUAAAACCCUUGUCUUUUCCAGCA
This is a long non-coding RNA of Poeciliopsis prolifica (blackstripe livebearer), 793 nucleotides long. RefSeq lists it as uncharacterized. NCBI's taxonomy places the organism in Eukaryota, Metazoa, Chordata, Actinopteri, Cyprinodontiformes, Poeciliidae. The record is from RefSeq and is a predicted model, not a curated record. The transcript is spliced from 4 exons.